RNAcentral lists this ribosomal RNA (530 nucleotides) under uncultured bacterium. RNAcentral's name for it is "bacterial SSU rRNA". It matches the Rfam family "Bacterial small subunit ribosomal RNA", at positions 8 to 525 of the family's 1533-position model. The record is from RNAcentral.
AGAGUUUGAUCCUGGCUCAGGACGAACGCUGGCGGCGUGCUUAACACAUGCAAGUGGAGCGACGAACCAGGGCUUGCCCUGGGGCAAAGCCGCGAACGGGUGAGUAACACGUGAGUAAUCUGCCCCGAUGACCGGGACAACCCGAGGAAACUCGGGCUAAUACCGGAUGAUGAGCCUUGGCGUAAGCCUUGUCUCUAAAGGAAGCUUCGGCCUCCGCAUUGGGAGGAGCUCGCGGCCCAUUAGCUUGUUGGUGGGUAAUGGCCUACCAAGGCAACGAUGGGUAGCUGGUCUGAGAGGACGAUCAGCCACACUGGGACUGAGACACGGCCCAGACUCCUACGGGAGGCAGCAGUGGGGAAUCUUGCGCAAUGCGCGAAAGCGUGACGCAGCAACGCCGCGUGGGGGAAGACGGCCUUCGGGUUGUAAACCCCUUUCAGGAGGGACGAAGGUUCACCGGUGAAUAGCCGUGUGGAUUGACGGUACCUCCACAAGAAGCACCGGCUAACUACGUGCCAGCAGCCGCGGUAAUA